UGGCCUUGAGGAAAUCACUCCGGGCCCGAUCCCUUUGACUUCACAACUUUCCCAAUUCCCCCCCUCUGUUAAAGGGGUUAACAAUACCCAACACCCAGGGGUUUGCGAGGGUUAGUUAAUAUGUGUAUAGCACCUGGAAGAUCGAAAGCGCUAAGUAAUGUAAUUUCUUUGUACAUGUAUACGGAUUGUUUUUGCAUUGCCUUACACCAAUGGAAGGGACCAUUAUAAAUACAAUUGCUAUUUAACUCUUCUGGAUUUUUAAAUAAUUGUUUCAUUUGGUUCGGAAAUGGGACAUUCUGGAUUUCCUUGUCAUUUGCAGCCAUAAACCAUCCCUUUUCUAGUGCAGAUUAGCAAAGAAAACACAAUCUCUCUCCUCCCCAACCUGCGGACAUUUUUUUUCCUUCUUCCGCACUAAGAAUUCCAAACAGCUCGUCUGACAAUUGCAGCCGGUCAAAAAGAGAAAGGGAUGUUGUUCUGUUCAUCUGUCAUUUGCACAUGAAGUCAUCAUUCAACCCAGAAGUAGUCCAAAUAUAUAGAGAGAGCUGUGUGUGUGAUUGUGCAGAGUAAACAAAGUGGAAGCUGUUCUCUCAAACUCUUGCUUUUGGGUCACCAUUCCCACAGUGCCGCUGCUGAGUUAUGUAGGUUACAAAGGGAGGGAUGGAGGAAGCUGAGCUCUAGCCUCUGACGUCCGCAUUUUGUUUCAGGGCUGCAGCUGCGCCCUGUGCGCAGACUCAGUGAGGGACGUGACUCUAUGCAAUUGGCACUUGAAACCUUAUUAAACGAAAUGCACAUUCCAGGGACAGACUCAGAGAGAGAAUCUACAGCCAGCACCGCCGAUGCCCCGUCACAGCACUAAGUACCGCCUCCCUUGCUGCUAUUUCUGGGUUCUAAAAGCUCCCUCCCACUGCCAGGCUUAACUUUUACUUAACGUAGCAAGAAGAGCAGCAUGUACAGUACACAGGAAUGGGUGUAUGAGCCGCAUUCUAUACUGUAGCACUCUCUCCCUUUGCAUUGACAACCAGCCCAGGCUUUUGUUACUCGGGCUUACUGCUCGCCAGUAAUUGAGACAGGCUGGCAUGAGGCUGAUUUUCCCACUGCCGACUAUGUUGCUGUUGGGAGAUUUGUUCCUGCAGAACCGACUGGCGGAGGGCAUGGGGUUGUCUUGUAAUUACAGACCCAGCUGGGCUUUUGAUGUUUUGUCAUUUGCAGCCCGUGUACAAGAUACGUAGCAUGGACACAUGAUAUUUUUGUGGAGCUAAUGAGUGCGAUGUCAUCAAAGCGAACAAGUAAAUUGAUAUAAUGUCCUUGCCCUAUUUGCUGGCGAAUGCUUUCAUCCAACUGCAGAGUUAAACUAGGGAAAUGAUCUCCCCCCGCCCCCAUCCUCAAACUAAGUUUCUUUAUCUGUCAACUUUUCGAGCUCCACUCUCCCCCGCCCCCCGACAAUCAAACGCCGUAGGCCGCUGUCUCUCAACACACCCCACCCCCUCUUUGGACUGGAAUGAGCUGGCUCUGUUGGACGAGGCGAGUGUAAAUGAUAUGAUCUCCCCUACUGGCUUGGCCAGGGGGAUGGAAUCUUGCUAAGGUUUCUGCCGUGCUGCUGUUGAAAAUGCCAGGUGCCUUGAAAGGUUUUUUUAAAAAGCGCGGGGGGAUGGGAGAGGGAGAAAUAAACCACCCUCGGAGAAACAAUUGUGUUGAGCUUAUGUCACAUGAAAAACCCUGUUCUAAAAUUACACGGAGGACGUUUAAUCCCAAAACUGAAGCGUUUUUACAUGCAAACGCCGCAUGAUUCUGCUCUGGGGGAUUUCCAGAAACGGUGCCGCUUGCUAAUGCGUCUUCUGACAGUGUCAUUCCCCCCACCCUGCGCGCGCGCCGUGCAACCGGGUGUUGAUGCAAAACACGCUUCCCCCCACCCACAUCAGUGCAAGUGCAACGAGGAUUUUGAUACAACGCCGCCCAUCCCCGUACACAGCGUGGAACUAGGGACUGAAAUUGGAUUCCUUCCAACCCGGCUGCAGAAAUUGCUGCCUACACAUUCACAGAGGAGCGCAGGGUUUCUAGGGUGAGGCAAUGCGUCUGCGAUUCGCAGAGACAAGGCAGGAAUUCUAUUGUUCACAAUGGAAGCUAACUGAUGGUAGCAGAAGUUAAGGGAAACAGUGGAUAAAAAAUAAAAUGCCAAAAGGCAAGAUGAAGGUCAUCACACUAGCUCAGUUUGGAAGAAAAUGUGUCAGAGAAUCAGAAAAAAAUCCAAACAGAAGUUUGAUGUCAUCUUUUUACUUUAUAUGGAACCCUGUUAUUGACUCUUUGAAGCCUGCUAUGAGGGACUCUUUUGGAAUAAUUUCUCAGUGGAUCUGGGAUACCACGUUUGCAAGACACUUGUGAAAAGGAAACAUCAGGAAGGCCAUGAUAUGCCACUUGUCCACAGAUAAGGCCUGAAAUAUGGAGAUGAUAAGUCUUGUCUUAUUUUGUUAUGAUUUUGUUAUGAUUUUUCCUAUAAAAAAGUAUUCAUGCAUAUAUAUGAGUAUGCUAAUUUUCAGAAAGAUACACUGUAAAAAACUAAAUGCCCAAUCCUGCAAUGUUUAGCAGACUACUCUGCUCCUGCUGAGGUAGUCUACAGCAAAAUUUGUAAGAAUAAAAUGAGUUUGUUGGAGAGAAUGGAAAAUGUUAAACCUUUUAAUUAAUUUUGUUUUUAAUCCAGCAGCUGACUUUUUUCAUUUUCAGGUAGCACAGUUGAAAAAUCUAGCAAAAUGACCUUAUUCCUCUGUAUUAGAGAGUCAGAUGCAACAGAUAUUUACAAUGUGUCUUGCCAGGAAGGGAGAGGAUUAUGAAAAUAUUUGAGAAGUUCAGAGGUUACUACAAUCCAAUUAAAAAUAGAGACUUGUGAGCAAUGUUUCCAGGUGCCAGAAGUGAGGACAGUUUAGGUCAAGCUUCUAAUAGUUUUCCUCAGAUUGAUAAAUAGGGAACGUCACAUUUUCUAUCCCUACUUCGCGUUGCUCCUUUGCAUCCAAAAAUGCAAUCAACAACUGGAUUUGUUGAGAUCUGAAAGUGGAUGGAGUGCACCCUGGCUUUGGAUUUCCUGAUGUGAGGGGUGGAGGGAUGGUGGUGACCCCAGUGACCCCUUUUAAAAAUAAACAGGAAGUCAUGGAAUCUGUGACCCCUCUGUGACAUAGCUGUAGUUGCGUUCAUUGCUUUAUACACAUUAGUUCAAUAGGCUACUAAAUACCCCACAGAAAAUGGGAAAAGGACAAGUAUUUAACAGGAAGCCUGUUACAAACUGAGACUAAAACACAGAACUAAGAUUAUCAUUUGGCAGGCACGAUUUUUUGUUGUUGUUAAGAACGCCUAGUUUGGCCUGCAUACAACUAACAAAUAAUUAAU
Trachemys scripta elegans is the source of this 3375-nucleotide long non-coding RNA. RefSeq lists it as uncharacterized. NCBI's taxonomy places the organism in Eukaryota, Metazoa, Chordata, Testudines, Emydidae. The record is from RefSeq and is a predicted model, not a curated record. The transcript is spliced from 3 exons.